Molecule: long non-coding RNA, 613 nt
Organism: Ipomoea nil (Japanese morning glory)
Lineage: Eukaryota; Viridiplantae; Streptophyta; Magnoliopsida; Solanales; Convolvulaceae
Exons: 4
Source: RefSeq, a predicted model, not a curated record
UUCUAUUACGAUCCUUUCCUCUACUCUACAUUGCAGUGAAUCAAUUUUAUUUCUCUGUUCUGGAUGUUUCGAAGUUACCAAGACUGGAUUUUUUGAGUUCUGUUUCCUAAACUGUGAGUGUGCGGCUGAUAGCAUUUUUGCGUUUUGAUUUGCAGUAAAACUCUAUUGAAGCCGACAAUACUUCGGAUAAAGCUAUUGAGAAACCGUAGAGAGAUUCAGCUGGAGCAGAUGCUCAAAGAAAUUGCCAAGCUUCUCGAAACUGGUCAGGAAGCCACUGCUCAGAUUCAGAGAGGAGAAAAUGAUGGCUGCCCAGGAGAUAAUUCAGCUAUUUUUUGAGCUCAUAAGUGUUCAUCUUCCAAUAAUUGAGGCACAAAGGGCUAGUUGUGGCAUUACUUGGAAAAGAAACUACUGCUGGUGAUUUUCUGGUUGAAGAUGUUCUAGAGGCUGGCCUAGCACAACAAAUAGAGCAACCACUUCAAUCAGGUGAAGACAAGUAUGUGGUAUUCAUCUCUGGUUUGAGACUUUGAGUGUUGGGAGCGGCACCUCCAAUCCUCUACAAUUUCAGCUUUUAAUUGAUCAUAUAACUAGACAUCUAGGAGAUGAGAUCGAAGGU